Molecule: non-coding RNA, 46 nt
Filed under: Schistosoma haematobium
Lineage: Eukaryota; Metazoa; Platyhelminthes; Trematoda; Strigeidida; Schistosomatidae
Source: RNAcentral
GUAUGAAUGACGAGUCCCACAAUAGGACGAAAUGAUCGUCCAAUGC